UUUAGGAUCCCUUUUGGAAUAUACCACUCGUAGGAGGUCCUCUUCGUCCGGCACUUGGGGUACUCGUGGUCGCCGGGCAGCACUUUGAAGGAGAUGGGGACGCGGUCGGCCCUCCGGUUGGCGCAGAAGGCAUCCCACACGGCCCGGUGCACGGCGUUGUACACCACGUCCAGGCCGGUGAGGGUGACGAAGGCCAUAGGCCGGCAGCAU
This 210-nucleotide long non-coding RNA is filed under the name Gallus gallus (chicken). Lineage: Eukaryota; Metazoa; Chordata; Aves; Galliformes; Phasianidae. The record is from RNAcentral.